GGUCAAAGGUGGGUUCUGGAAUCUCACACCACACCCUUAUUUUUCAAAAUGUUUAUCUAUGAUGAACAUUUUUAUAACUAAUUUCGUCCGACUUUGAUUUGAAGGAAAGUUUUAAGAAAUUUCCAUAGUGAGGAUGCACAAUUCUUCAUUCACUGAGUGUUUGAUGAAAUUUUCAUGUUGACUGGUCGUAUCUAGGUUAGUGUUAUUUGGAAUACUGAUCCUUCACUGCUGAUAGAAGAAAGUUCACCAACAUCUUCUAAACAGAAUCUGAAAUUUCACUAAAUAUAAAUAAAACAGUUUUAUCCACAAACAUACAAAAGUUUACAAAGUUGGUUUCUUGUAAUUCAAAAGGCUUCACGGUUUAUGUCUUGGAUAUUAGUCGAAUUGCUUUCCCUUGGCGGCAUCUCCCCUAAGGGGAUCCUCUCUGUGUGCUCUCUCUCAAAGGUCGUUGUCGAUUUGUUUCCGGAAGUCAAUGCGGAAACUGGUCUCUUAGUUUUUUCUAACUAUUCUACACUUCCGAUUAUACAUGUAAUAAACUAUAAUAAUAAUAAUGUCUAUAAUCACUAUACUAACGAUACUAACUGUAAUUGAAGGAAUGUGGUCCCUAACAGACUAAAUAAUUUAUUAG
RNAcentral lists this long non-coding RNA (628 nucleotides) under Androctonus crassicauda. The record is from RNAcentral. Lineage: Eukaryota; Metazoa; Arthropoda; Arachnida; Scorpiones; Buthidae.